Non-coding RNA from Elaeis guineensis (African oil palm), 932 nucleotides. The record is from RefSeq and is a predicted model, not a curated record. Lineage: Eukaryota; Viridiplantae; Streptophyta; Magnoliopsida; Arecales; Arecaceae.
AUGAUGGCAGUGGGGACAAUUCCAUCGUCUCAUCAUAAUUGGAAUGUGAAGAAGAAAGUCACAAGCACUGCAAACAUGUUGUGCCGAGACUCCGAGACAUGAAAGCAGCUUGAUGAAGGGCUGAUAUCUUCUGCAACCCAAAUUACCAUACUGUAAAUCUUUGAGCCCCUUGUCUGUGUUUACCAAUCACUGCCAGCACAUGAAACUUCAGUUUCCUAUUGGUAUCACCGUAAUGAUCAUUAACUGGAGUGGUGAAUCACACCUUUAGGAGUUGUGGCUGAAAAAUGUUUGAGAACAAGUACAAUUAGGACCUCCAUUUUGGUUUUUGUUGACUACUACACUGGAACAGUUCAGUGCAUUCCUGCAAGUUCGAUAGCCUCUCAGGAAAAUCAAAGCUGAAACAAUCAUUGCACAGCCAACGGGAGGCAGGAAAGGAUGAGAGGAGAGAACAGUCGACCUGCUUGAAUAAAAUUACGUGAGGACCCCAGCCACGUUAUCAAGUGCUUUUUUUGCAAUAUCGAAUUUGCCAGCAAUGGAUUUUUCUGAGUUUGCAGCACCAACAUACUGCUUGAUGAAGAACGCAAGGUUGCUCCUUAGCAUUUCAAUCUCUGGAAGCGGCAGCUACACGAGUGAAGAUGUUCCACACGAGGGCAUCAGCGUUCUCAAAAACAGCCUCAAAGAGCAUUCGGAAAUGCAUGAUCCUUCUAGGUGUCAGCUGUGCGGGGUUUGCCAGAUCUACGGUCUUCAAAAUAGCAAGGGAGAGUGAGAAGCUGGACAGCAUCUCUGCAACAAAUCUUGCAAGGUUCAUGAAGCGGUUUAACUCCAUUGAUUCAAGUUCCUUGAAGUGAUCCCAUAAGUGGUACUGAAAUUUACACAAAAAAGGCAAAUUCAGAAAACAUGAUGAAAUUUAGAAAACAUCUGAAAACUACAUU